Long non-coding RNA from Amphiprion ocellaris (clown anemonefish), 791 nucleotides. Lineage: Eukaryota; Metazoa; Chordata; Actinopteri; Pomacentridae. The record is from Ensembl.
CUGGAACACAGAGAGGCUGCAGCAGAGGAAGGAGGGAGACUGGAGGAAAGGUUGCACAGGCAGGGAGGCUUACUUUCCUCAGUUGUACCUGUUUGUGCCAGAAUCGCAGUUUUCAUUUGGACUGGCUCCAGGUGACGUCCAGUCCCAGCCUGUUCUGCUGCUGUUGCUGACUGGGUUGUGGUGGCAGCAGUUAACAUUCCAGACAUCCCUCUCCACCUCUGUGUUUUCCAGCUCCUCCCGAAAGAUCCAGAGGCGUUCCCAGGCCAGGAAACUGCUCAGACAGAAAACUUGUGUCAGACUCAGAAGUCCAACGCUCAGCUUUUAUUUGCUGAUUCUGGGGAAGUUGUAGCUGACUCAGCUGAUGUCAGAGUUUCCACGAGAAGGAAAAUGCUGCAUACACUAUUACUACUACUACUACUACUACUACUACUACUACUACUACUACUACUACUACUGCAGCUGCUACUACUGUACAAUCACCGUAUGUCAGAGUGUAAAACUGAGUCAUUGUGGAAAUGUUUAGCUGCAGAAAAAUAUAUUCAAGACAGUCUGUAUACCUUUGUUCAAACAGUCUAAUCAAUGCAACUAUUUAUCUUUGCUGAGAAAAAUAAGACAGACUUUUUACAGUGUAAAUGCUGUAUUUAAAGAGUGAGAGCAAUGACUUUUUAAACCCCAACAUGCACUGGUGGGUUUGAAAGGCAAAAAAGAAUAAAUAAAAUCAGCAAAUGACACCAUGUCUCAUACAGAAACUGUAGAAAGAGAAAAAAUCACUUCAACAUAUUGUUCAAUUA